Molecule: long non-coding RNA, 1088 nt
Organism: Lucilia cuprina (Australian sheep blowfly)
Lineage: Eukaryota; Metazoa; Arthropoda; Insecta; Diptera; Calliphoridae
Exons: 4
Source: RefSeq, a predicted model, not a curated record
UAAAUAUAUACAUAUAUAUUUACAAAAAAAAAAUAAAAAUACAAGAAUUAUACAAUUAACUAAACAAAUAAAAACUGAAAUACAACACGAACAAACACCUUUUUUAUAUUUAUUUUCCUGGUCUCCACAGCAAUUGAAAGAGAAGAAAGUAUAUUUCAGGUUCCUUGAAAUUAGUACAAAUUGAAAUAAAUCUAUUUCAUUUGUUACAUCUCUUGUAACAAAUCUACAAUUUUGUUUGAGUUAUCCAAACAAAACAACAAAUUCCCAAUUGUUCCAAUUGGAAAAUUGUUUAGAAUGGCUUUGAAAAAGAAAAUUCAAUAGAUGAAAGCGAAGAACACGAUCCGGAAUCCGAUUGGGAACAGUGUUUACACCUUUUAAAAAGUGGAAACUUAUCUCCGGAGGAAUUUGACCUAUACUGGAGAAAAUAUGCUUACUACAGAUUUAAACAAAUGAAAGAGAAGAAAAGUACAUUGGAUAUAUUGAACGAGUGGCCGGAAUAUAAAAAGUCAUCAGGAUUUCAAUUAAUAUCAACUAAAGUUUCCAAAGGCUAAGGAAUUAAAAACCAAAUGGGCAGAUUACGGGGGAAAGUUGUUUAGUUUGUUGCGGAAUAAAGUCGUUAAAUCGACUGCUUCAGCUAUACUCAAAAAGUUAGAAGGCUGUAACGAAGACACAAAAAUAUUUGGAACGUUUUGGUUUCUUCAACAUAUAUUUCCACCGCCAUUAAGUGUAAUAACGGAGCCUAAUGGGGCCAAACAACGAAAAAAAUUCUCCAUUAUCGAUUCUCAAGAAUCAUUUGCUAUAAUGGGUAAAAGUUCCGAAGAGCUGGACACAAAAUAGAAUUUGCUGAAGUUCCAGUCAAUAAGUUUACAGCCAUUACUUUUAGUGUUAGGUGAUUUAGAAGAUAUCAAAAAUAUUUCGAUAUAUUUUGAUGGCAUAAGGUAUCCCAUGAUGACUACCUUAACUGCUGUAGAUAUUUUAUACAAAAUAAUGUUUGUUUUUAAUCUAGAGUUUCCAAAACAAUCAGAAAUAUUUUAUACUUUUAUUCAAAUAUUCUUUUUUGAAAUGCCCACAGCCAAAAAAAAUUUAAA